GACGAACGCUGGCGGCGUGCUUAACACAUGCAAGUCGAGCGGUAAGGCCCUUUCGGGGGUACACGAGCGGCGAACGGGUGAGUAACACGUGGGUGACCUGCCCUUAGCUCUGGGAUAAGCCUGGGAAACUGGGUCUAAUACCGGAUAUGACUCCAUGACGCAUGUUGUGGGGUGGAAAGCCUUGUGCGGCUAGGGAUGGGCCCGCGGCCUAUCAGCUUGUUGGUGGGGUGAUGGCCUACCAAGGCGACGACGGGUAGCCGGCCUGAGAGGGCGACCGGCCACACUGGGACUGAGACACGGCCCAGACUCCUACGGGAGGCAGCAGUGGGAAUCUUGCGCAAUGGGCGAAAGCCUGACGCAGCGACGCCGCGUGAGGGAUGAC
This 382-nucleotide ribosomal RNA is filed under the name uncultured bacterium. RNAcentral describes it as "bacterial SSU rRNA". It matches the Rfam family "Bacterial small subunit ribosomal RNA", at positions 28 to 412 of the family's 1533-position model. The record is from RNAcentral.